Molecule: ribosomal RNA, 467 nt
Filed under: uncultured bacterium
Lineage: Bacteria
Description: partial 16S ribosomal RNA
Rfam family: Bacterial small subunit ribosomal RNA
Source: RNAcentral
GAUGAACGCUGGCGGCGUGCUUAACACAUGCAAGUCGAACGGAAAGGCCCAAGCUUCCUUGGGUACUCGAGUGGCGAACGGGUGAGUAACACGUGGGUCAUCUUCCCUGCACUUCGGGAUAACCCUGGGAAACUGGUUCUAAUACCUGAUAGGACCACUUCUUGGAUGUUGUGGUGGAAAGUUUUUUCUGUGUGGGGUGAGCUCGCGGCCUAUCCGCUUGUUGGGGGGGUAAUGGGCUACCAAGGCGUCUCCGGGUCGACGGACUGAGGGAGUGUAAGGCCACAUUGGGACUGAGGUAAGGCACAGGCUCCGACGAGAGGAAGAAGGGGGGAAGAUUGAACAAGGGGCGCAGGGCUGAUGCAGAGACGCCGCGUGGGGGAUGACGGCCUUAGGGUUGAAAACGCCUUGCGCGAGGGACGAAGCGUUUUGUGACGGUACCUGGAGAAGAAGCACCGGCUAACUACGUG